UUUUUUUUUUUUUUUUGUUAUUUUAUUGCUUUACAUUUUCAUAAUCUCAUACGAUCUUUCCUUAAAUAGUAAUGCUAAGUUCUUUAAUCAAACUUUUCAAAGUACAUGACAAACUACUAAAUCUACGAACAAGAACAAGAACAAAAACAAAAACAAAAACACAACAUGAAACUAGAUAAUAUAGAAGAAGCAGUUCAAUAAGUAACAGAUAGAGAACACUCUUAAUUAAUUAACAGUAACAUUGAUGAUAAUAAUGUACAAAGCAAAAUACUCCUCAUAAGGAGUACAUUAUACGUGGCACACAUCCCACCAAUAUUACAUGGCAAACUCAAAAUUACACAACAAAACAAAACAGUACUAAAUCAAACACACUCAUACCCAACUUCAGCUCCAUCCUCCUCUGUCUAGUUUGAGAGAAAGACAGGCCAGUUGCCUUUCGCCAUUUGGCAAAAUUUUUUCAAUCACUACCACCCUAUAUAUAUUAGUUACUAACCCUGGCCAGACCCAAAAAAAUAAGAGAAGAAAAUUGACUGGUUUGUCUCCUCCAUAUGCAAAACACCCAUGCAUCU
This 569-nucleotide long non-coding RNA is filed under the name Vitis vinifera (wine grape). RNAcentral describes it as "long non-coding RNA (VVIN_LNC005891)". Lineage: Eukaryota; Viridiplantae; Streptophyta; Magnoliopsida; Vitales; Vitaceae. The record is from RNAcentral.